UACGUAGGGUCCGAGCGUUAAUCGGAAUUACUGGGCGUAAAGCGUGCGCAGGCGGUUUUGUAAGCCAGAUGUGAAAUCCCCCGGGCUAACUUGGGAACUGCAUUUGGGACUGCAAGGCUGGAGUACGGCAGAGGGAGUGGAAUUCCACGUGUAGCAGUGAAAUGCGUAGAGAUGUGGAGGAACACCGAUGGCGAAGGCAGCCUCCUGGGCUAGUACUGACGCUCAUGCA
RNAcentral lists this ribosomal RNA (229 nucleotides) under uncultured bacterium. RNAcentral's name for it is "partial 16S ribosomal RNA". It matches the Rfam family "Bacterial small subunit ribosomal RNA", at positions 524 to 753 of the family's 1533-position model. The record is from RNAcentral.